This 244-nucleotide ribosomal RNA is filed under the name uncultured Lactobacillus sp. Its description in RNAcentral is "partial 16S ribosomal RNA". It matches the Rfam family "Bacterial small subunit ribosomal RNA", at positions 118 to 354 of the family's 1533-position model. The record is from RNAcentral. Lineage: Bacteria; Bacillati; Bacillota; Bacilli; Lactobacillales; Lactobacillaceae.
UGGGUAACCUGCCCAAGAGAUCGGGAUAACACCUGGAAACAGAUGCUAAUACCGGAUAACAACAGAUGGUGCCUAUCAACUGUUUAAAAGAUGGUUCUGCUAUCACUCUUGGAUGGACCUGCGGUGCAUUAGCUAGUUGGUAGGGUAACGGCCUACCAAGGCGAUGAUGCAUAGCCGAGUUGAGAGACUGAUCGGCCACAUUGGGACUGAGACACGGCCCAAACUCCUACGGGAGGCAGCAGGG